Carcharodon carcharias (great white shark) is the source of this 161-nucleotide small nuclear RNA. RefSeq annotates it as U1 spliceosomal RNA. NCBI's taxonomy places the organism in Eukaryota, Metazoa, Chordata, Chondrichthyes, Lamniformes, Lamnidae. The transcript has a single exon. The record is from RefSeq and is a predicted model, not a curated record.
UUUCUCCCCUGCCAGUUAAGCACAAUGAUCAUGAAGGGUGUGCUUCCAGGCUGAGGCUAUCCUAUUGCACGUUGGGUGUGCCGACACCUGCGAUGUCCCCAAAUGCGGGGUAUUCUACUGCAGGCUUUGUGGUAAUGGGGAUUGCAUUCGCGCUGUCCCCU